RNAcentral lists this ribosomal RNA (502 nucleotides) under uncultured bacterium. RNAcentral's name for it is "bacterial SSU rRNA". It matches the Rfam family "Bacterial small subunit ribosomal RNA", at positions 21 to 507 of the family's 1533-position model. The record is from RNAcentral.
GGCUCAGGAUGAACGCUAGCGGCAGGCUUAACACAUGCAAGUCGAGGGGCAGCGGAGCGGAGUGCUUGCACUCUGCUGCCGGCGACCGGCGCACGGGUGAGUAACACGUAUGCAACCUGCCCCGGAGCGGGGGAUAACCCGGCGAAAGCCGGACUAAUACCGCGUAUAUAUCCAGGAGGCAUCUUCUGGAUAGGAAAGGACUUCGGUCCGCUCCGGGAUGGGCAUGCGGCGCAUUAGGCAGACGGCGGGGUAACGGCCCACCGUACCGACGAUGCGUAGGGGUUCUGAGAGGAAGGCCCCCCACACUGGUACUGAGACACGGACCAGACUCCUACGGGAGGCAGCAGUGAGGAAUAUUGGUCAAUGGGCGAGAGCCUGAACCAGCCAAGCCGCGUGAGGGAAGAAGGCGCUCAGCGUCGUAAACCUCUUUAGCCGGGGGACAAAACCUCCUCGCGAAGGAGGCUUGAGAGUACCCGGAGAAUAAGCAUCGGCUAACUCCGUG